Molecule: ribosomal RNA, 490 nt
Filed under: uncultured bacterium
Lineage: Bacteria
Description: partial 16S ribosomal RNA
Rfam family: Bacterial small subunit ribosomal RNA
Source: RNAcentral
AUUGAACGCUGGCGGCAUGCCUAACACAUGCAAGUCGAACGGCAGCACAGUAAAGACUUCGGUCUUUAUGGGUGGCGAGUGGCGGACGGGUGAGUAACACGUGGGUAACCUGCCUUAUAGAGGGGGAUAGCCUUCCGAAAGGAAGAUUAAUACCACAUAACAUCAAAUUCUCGCAUGAGAGUUUGAUUAAAGGAGCAAUCCGCUAUAAGAUGGACCCGCGGCGCAUUAGCUAGUUAGUGAGGUAACGGCUCACCAAGGCGACGAUGCGUAGCCGACCGGAGAGGGUGAUCGGCCACAUUGGGACUGAGACACGGCCCAGACUCCUACGGGAGGCAGCAGUGGGGAAUAUUGCACAAUGGGGGAAACCCUGAUGCAGCAACGCCGCGUGAGUGAUGAAGGCCUUCGGGUUGUAAAGCUCUGUCUUUGGGGACGAUAAUGACGGUACCCAAAGAGGAAGCCACGGCUAACUACGUGCCAGCCGCCGCAGUAA